CCCGAUCAUUUGUUGCCUCGCCGUCGACCUAACCAUUUGCUGCGUCACUGUCGCACUCCUCUGCCGCAACCAAUCAUUUUUGAAGCAAACGUGAUUGGAGAAUCGUCUAAGGUGAAGAGUACGGUGACCUUCGACGAGUGAUCAAGCAGACCUCGGCCAGACAUUCCUCAUUCAUCCAU
Long non-coding RNA from Gossypium arboreum, 179 nucleotides. RefSeq lists it as uncharacterized. Lineage: Eukaryota; Viridiplantae; Streptophyta; Magnoliopsida; Malvales; Malvaceae. The transcript is spliced from 3 exons. The record is from RefSeq and is a predicted model, not a curated record.